RNAcentral lists this ribosomal RNA (547 nucleotides) under uncultured Bifidobacterium sp. RNAcentral's name for it is "bacterial SSU rRNA". It matches the Rfam family "Bacterial small subunit ribosomal RNA", at positions 136 to 695 of the family's 1533-position model. Lineage: Bacteria; Bacillati; Actinomycetota; Actinomycetes; Bifidobacteriales; Bifidobacteriaceae. The record is from RNAcentral.
CACUAGUGAUUCUCCUGGAAACGGGUGGUAAUGCCGGAUGCUCCAGUCCAUCGCAUGGUGGUCUGGGAAAGAUUUCAUCGGUAUGGGAUGGGGUCGCGUCCUAUCAGGUAGUCGGCGGGGUAACGGCCCACCGAGCCUACGACGGGUAGCCGGCCUGAGAGGGCGACCGGCCACAUUGGGACUGAGAUACGGCCCAGACUCCUACGGGAGGCAGCAGUGGGGAAUAUUGCACAAUGGGCGCAAGCCUGAUGCAGCGACGCCGCGUGCGGGAUGACGGCCUUCAGGUUGUAAACCGCUUUUGACCGGGAGCAAGCCUUCGGGUGAGUGUACCUUUCGAAUAAGCACCGGCUAACUACGUGCCAGCAGCCGCGGUAAUACGUAGGGUGCAAGCGUUAUCCGGAAUUAUUGGGCGUAAAGGGCUCGUACGCGGUUCGUCGCGUCCGGUGUGAAAGUCCAUCGCUUAACGGUGGAUCCGCGCCGGGUACGGGCGGGCUUGAGUGCGGUAGGGGAGACUGGAACUCCCGGUGUAACGGUGGAAUGUGUAGAU